GCACACAGCCAGCACUCGUUGAGGUUUGCACAUGUUUGCACCCCACUCUUUCUGGCAGCCCAGGCGUCCCCUCUUUCUGAGCUGUAUUCUGUGGAGGUUGCUCUGCUAAGGAGCUGGGUGGUGGCGCAGUCAUUUUGCUGAUCUGAUGCUUCUCCCACACCCGUAAGUGGGAGUGGAGCAGGGCGUGUGGGUCCGGCUGCUGCCUCUGCCUCGGCACUUCAGAGACGGUCAUCUGCUCCUGUUCUUGCCGUUCGCGGGGUCUGCCUCCAGCAAGUUCUCCUUCAGCAUUCUGAGUGUACCACGGGACAGCUAGGUUGGUCUUGCACUCCUGAGUUCAAGCGGUCCACCCGUCUUGGCCUUCCAUGUGAUGGGAUUACAGGCGUGAGCCACCUCGCUCGGCCUGGAUACACCAGGUUCGCCCAGCCGCCUCGCCCGGCCUGGAUACACCAGGUUCGCCCAGCCGCCUCGCCAGGCCUGGAUACACCA
This 486-nucleotide long non-coding RNA is filed under the name Homo sapiens (human). Its description in RNAcentral is "non-protein coding LINC02280:16". Lineage: Eukaryota; Metazoa; Chordata; Mammalia; Primates; Hominidae. The record is from RNAcentral.